This 253-nucleotide ribosomal RNA is filed under the name uncultured bacterium. RNAcentral's name for it is "partial 16S ribosomal RNA". It matches the Rfam family "Bacterial small subunit ribosomal RNA", at positions 524 to 776 of the family's 1533-position model. The record is from RNAcentral.
CACGUAGGGCGCAAGCGUUGUCCGGAAUUACUGGGCGUAAAGGGCUCGUAGGCGGCCAACUAAGUCGGACGUGAAAUCCCUCGGCUUAACCGGGGAACUGCGUCCGAUACUGGAUGGCUUGAGUUUGGGAGAGGGAUGCGGAAUUCCAGGUGUAGCGGUGAAAUGCGUAGAUAUCUGGAGGAACACCGGUGGCGAAGGCGGCAUCCUGGACCAACACUGACGCUGAGGAGCGAAAGCCAGGGGAGCAAACGGG